Molecule: ribosomal RNA, 399 nt
Filed under: Bradyrhizobium japonicum
Lineage: Bacteria; Pseudomonadati; Pseudomonadota; Alphaproteobacteria; Hyphomicrobiales; Nitrobacteraceae
Description: partial 16S ribosomal RNA
Source: RNAcentral
AGUCGCGCUUCCACCAAGUGCAGCGGGCGCAGCAAUACGCUCAGCGGCAGUACGGGUGCAGCUAACGCGCUGGGAACGCUACCAUUUUGGCUUCGGAACAACACAGGGUAAACUUGUGCUAAUACCGGAUAAUCCCUUACGGGGAAAUAUAUUCUUCCCCUUUUCCCCCUGACUUUCAUAGAACAGUUACUCUCCCAUGCAUAAUAUCCACAAGAGCUACCACCUCCCUCCUACCCCUUUUAUUCAUCUGUUAACCUUCCCUACAUUCAUCUGACCAUGAUCAAACUCUAAUCACUUUCCAUUCCCGCCCUCCUGCACGUCAACCUUUACCACUCCCAUUCCCUAUAUAUCUUAUUCUUUCUUGCCCCCAAUUACAUUCUAAUCAUUCAUACUUUCCUG